Molecule: long non-coding RNA, 465 nt
Filed under: Pan troglodytes (chimpanzee)
Lineage: Eukaryota; Metazoa; Chordata; Mammalia; Primates; Hominidae
Description: long non-coding RNA NONPTRT008947
Source: RNAcentral
GAAAUGUGGAAACAUGACAGGGCAUACCUGAAACACACUAAGUCUGUACUUUGGGAAGGGCAGAAGUUAAGAAUUAAUCUAACUACUACUCCAACUGUCUUAGGUACUGAAGAAGACCUGGAAUUCUAUGUCAGGAAGUGUGGUGAUAUUCUUGGAGUAACCAGUAAACUACCAAAGGACCAACAGGAUGCCAAACAUAUCCUUGAGCACGUCUUCUUCCAAGUGGUGGAGUUCAAGAAAUUGAACCAGGAACAUGACAUCGAUACAAGUGAAACAGCAUUCCAGAACAAUUUCUGAAGACCAUGCCUCUUGAAGCUUUUUCUGCCUCCUGAUUCUCUCUUUGUAAACUAUUUUCAAAUUGUUUUUCAACUCCUUAUCAAAAUUGUUUAUACAGUCUUUCCUCCAUGAGCUCUGGAAGGUAUAUGCAUCUUCUGUAAUACUCAGAUAGGUAUAAGAUUUUUCACA